AUACUUACCUGGCAGGGGCGAUAUCAUGAUCAUGAAGGUGGUUUUUCCAGGGUGAGGCUCAUCCAUUGUACUCCAGGCAGGCUGACCUCUGCAAUUUCCCUAAAUGCAGGAAACUUGACUUCAUAAUUUGUGAUAGUGGGGGACCAAGUUCACGCUUUCCCCUA
This is a small nuclear RNA of Nannospalax galili (Upper Galilee mountains blind mole rat), 164 nucleotides long. Its record names the gene U1. It matches the Rfam family "U1 spliceosomal RNA". From Rfam's summary of the family: U1 is a small nuclear RNA (snRNA) component of the spliceosome (involved in pre-mRNA splicing). Its 5' end forms complementary base pairs with the 5' splice junction, thus defining the 5' donor site of an intron. There are significant differences in sequence and secondary structure between metazoan and yeast U1 snRNAs, the latter being much longer (568 nucleotides as compared to 164 nucleotides in human). Lineage: Eukaryota; Metazoa; Chordata; Mammalia; Rodentia; Spalacidae. The record is from Ensembl.